This 399-nucleotide long non-coding RNA is filed under the name Elaeis guineensis (African oil palm). Its description in RNAcentral is "long non-coding RNA (EGUI_LNC069173)". Lineage: Eukaryota; Viridiplantae; Streptophyta; Magnoliopsida; Arecales; Arecaceae. The record is from RNAcentral.
UUCUCCCUCUCUCUCCAGCCAUUCUCCAUUCCCCAGGAGCAAGAAACCCUAAGGUUUCUUGCCGCCAGGUCCUAAAAAGGAAAGAAAAGCAAGGAGGCGCUAGCCCCUUCCCCCUUGCAGCCGCCAACCAGAUUGCUCCCCUCCUCUCUUGCAGCCAUCCAAGCAUCAGGUCCAGGAUCUGAAAUCCCUUGAGAAGAGGUUGAUACAAGUUCCUCUCAGAUCUGGAGUUGAUCUGAGGUCGUUUGAGGUGCGGGUGAGAUCUCUAUCAACAGAUCUAUAGGAAAGGCUGCAGCAGGACAGAUCUGCAAGGUCUGUCUCCAUCUACUUUCUUCCCUACUUAGAACACCCCGAUUUGAGAUAUACAAAUUGGAAGACCUUGGUCCAGGCCUGAUCUGUUGG